GCUUGCUCCGGAUCUCUUAGUGGCGAACGGGUGAGUAACGCGUGGGAAUCUACCUUAAAGUGGGGAAUAACUAUUGGAAACGAUAGCUAAUACCGCAUAAUCCCUUAGGGGCAAAGGCUUCGGCCGCUUUUAGAUGAGCCCGCGUUAGAUUAGGCUGUUGGUGAGGUAAUGGCUCACCAAACCUGUAAUCUAUAGCUGGUCUGAGAGGACGAUCAGCCACACUGGGACUGAGACACGGCCCAGACUCCUACGGGAGGCAGCAGUGGGGAAUAUUGGACAAUGGGGGAAACCCUGAUCCAGCAAUGCCGCGUGAGUGAUGAAGGCCUUAGGGUUGUAAAACUCUUUCAGAAGUGAAGAUGAUGACGGUAACUUCAGAAGAAGCUCCGGCUAACUCCGUGCCAGCAGCCGCGGUAAUACGGAGGGAGCUAGCGUUGUUCGGAAUUACUGGGCGUAAAGAGCGUGUAGGCUGUUAGGUAAGUCAGAGGUGAAAUCCCUAAGCUCAACUUAGGAACUGCCUUUGAUACUAUCUUACUAGAGAUCGAGAGAAGUUAGCGGAAUUCCAAGUGUAGAGGUGAAAUUCGUAGAUAUUUGGAAGAACACCAGUGGCGAAAGCGGCUAACUGGCUCGUAUCUGACGCUGAGACGCGAAAGCGUGGGUAGCAAACAGGAUUAGAUACCCUGGUAGUCCACGCCGUAAACGAUGUGUGCUAGCCGUUUGUGAUUUAUCGCAAGUGGUGCAGCUAACGCGUAAGCAC
This 754-nucleotide ribosomal RNA is filed under the name uncultured Alphaproteobacteria bacterium. RNAcentral's name for it is "bacterial SSU rRNA". It matches the Rfam family "Bacterial small subunit ribosomal RNA", at positions 78 to 867 of the family's 1533-position model. Lineage: Bacteria; Pseudomonadati; Pseudomonadota; Alphaproteobacteria. The record is from RNAcentral.